AACCUCCGCAAUGUGAGCAAUCGCGACGGGGGGAUCCCAAGUGCCAUUCUUAACGGGAUGGCUUUUCUUAAGUGUAAAGAGCUUUUGGAAUAAGAGCUGGGCAAGACCGGUGCCAGCCGCCGCGGUAACACCGGCAGCUCUAGUGGUAGCUGUUUUUAUUGGGCCUAAAGCGUUCGUAGCCGGUUUAAUAAGUCUUUGGUGAAAUCCUGUAGCUUAACUAUGGGAAUUGCUGAGGAUACUGUUAGGCUUGAGGUCGGGAGAGGUUAGCGGUACUCCCAGGGUAGGGGUGAAAUCCUGUAAUCCUGGGAGGACCACCUGUGGCGAAGGCGGCUAACUGGAACGAACCUGACGGUGAGGGACGAAAGCUAGGGGCGCGAACCGG
Molecule: ribosomal RNA, 382 nt
Filed under: uncultured archaeon
Lineage: Archaea
Description: bacterial SSU rRNA
Rfam family: Archaeal small subunit ribosomal RNA
Source: RNAcentral